GGAAUAUUGCACAAUGGGCGCAAGCCUGAUGCAGCCAUGCCGCGUGUAUGAAGAAGGCCUUCGGGUUGUAAAGUACUUUCAGCGGGGAGGAAGGCGAUAAGGUUAAUAACCUUGUCGAUUGACGUUACCCGCAGAAGACGCACGGGGUAACUCCGUGCCGGCAGCCGCGGUAAUACGGAGGGUGCAAGCGUUAAUCGGAAUUACUGGGCGUAAAGCGCACGCAGGCGGUCUGUCAAGUCGGAUGUGAAAGCCCCGGGCUCAACCUGGGAACUGCAUUCGAAACUGGCAGGCUUGAGUCUUGUAGAGGGGAGUAGAAUUCCAGGUGUAGCGGUGAAAUGCGUAGAGAUCUGGAGGAAUACCGGUGGCGAAGGCGGCCCCCUGGACAAAGACUGACGCUCAGGUGCGAAAGCGUGGGGAGCAAACA
Molecule: ribosomal RNA, 424 nt
Filed under: uncultured bacterium
Lineage: Bacteria
Description: bacterial SSU rRNA
Rfam family: Bacterial small subunit ribosomal RNA
Source: RNAcentral